Molecule: ribosomal RNA, 375 nt
Filed under: uncultured bacterium
Lineage: Bacteria
Description: bacterial SSU rRNA
Rfam family: Bacterial small subunit ribosomal RNA
Source: RNAcentral
GUAGGGGGCAAGCGUUGUUCGGAAUUACUGGGCGUAAAGGGCGCGUAGGCGGCACGGCAAGUCAGGAGUGAAAGCCCGGGGCUCAACCCCGGAAUGGCUUUUGAGACUGCCGAGCUAGAGUGCGGAAGGGGCAACCGGAAUUCCCAGUGUAGCGGUGAAAUGCGUAGAUAUUGGGAAGAACACCGGAGGCGAAGGCGGGUUGCUGGGCCGACACUGACGCUGAGGCGCGAAAGCCAGGGGAGCAAACGGGAUUAGAUACCCCGGUAGUCCUGGCCCUAAACGAUGGAUACUUGGUGUGUGGGGUUCUGAAAGUCCCCGCGUGCCGGAGCUAACGCGGUAAGUAUCCCGCCUGGGGAGUACGGUCGCAAGGCUGAA